GUGUUUAUCAUUCGCGCACACGUGCCCCCGUCCAGGACGGUUGCACGCACACACUAUUAUCAUUCAGUCAAUCUCGCUUGCGCGCCCACAGGCGCUCAGUGUAAUACAGCCGCCGCCGCAGCAGCAGCAGUUGGCACGAAAUACAGGGCCAGAGUACGCGUGGUACCGGCGUGUUGUUCAUUAAUGAUCCUUCCGCAGGUUCACCUACGGAAA
This 213-nucleotide unclassified non-coding RNA is filed under the name uncultured fungus. RNAcentral's name for it is "sequence contains ITS1". The record is from RNAcentral. Lineage: Eukaryota; Fungi.